GAUAGCAAAAAAUGUAGACAGCCAAUUCAUUCACAAACAUAUUUUUUCGCUGAUGGUAGGUAUAUAAGUUUCAAAUAGAACGCUUCGUUCGGUAUUUGGUCUUCUUACGUUAUUUGGCGAUUUCAAAGUGGUUCUAGAAUAAAAUUUGGUGAAAAAUUCCACAGUUAAAAGAGAAGAAUUCGAAGCAGCAGUGGCAACGAAAAUUCUUCCAGGAAGUCAAUUCACAAGCCAAGAAGCCACACGAUGUUAACAAUGUUCGAAAUCACAGCAUAUUUCUUAUAUUAUUAUUUCAAGAUAAUAUUUUUGUAUGUCAUGCUAUUACGUGAAGUCUUAAUCUACUUCAUGAUAAUAUUUUCGACCUUCGUAUUGGGAAUUAUGGAUUGCUUUGACAGCUUGUCAACAAACAGUAAACUUUUUUGCAGAUAAGUGUUUUGAAAUGAAUGAACUUUCUGUAUUAUCUCUUCUGUGAUAACAAAAAUGAUGUAAAAUUGUGUAAUUAGUUGAUAUACAUUGAAUAUUUUAUUGGGUUCUUUUCGAAUAAUCUAGACAGUAGUUUGUUUCUUGAGAGGAACAUGAAAAUUUUGUUAUUUUCUUGAGGUGGAUAUUGAAUGUGAUGUUAUUCUACGAAUUGUUAUAUCUCAAGUAUUUUUAUGAAUAAAUGUUGUUACUUAAUA
Long non-coding RNA from Leptinotarsa decemlineata (Colorado potato beetle), 674 nucleotides. RefSeq lists it as uncharacterized. The record is from RefSeq and is a predicted model, not a curated record. NCBI's taxonomy places the organism in Eukaryota, Metazoa, Arthropoda, Insecta, Coleoptera, Chrysomelidae.